UGGGGAAUUUUGGACAAUGGGGGAAACCCUGAUCCAGCCAUCCCGCGUGUGCGAUGAAGGCCUUCGGGUUGUAAAGCACUUUUGGCAGGAAAGAAACGUCGCGGGUUAAUACCCCGCGAAACUGACGGUACCUGCAGAAUAAGCACCGGCUAACUACGUGCCAGCAGCCGCGGUAAUACGUAGGGUGCAAGCGUUAAUCGGAAUUACUGGGCGUAAAGCGUGCGCAGGCGGUUCGGAAAGAAAGAUGUGAAAUCCCAGAGCUUAACUUUGGAACUGCAUUUUUAACUACCGGGCUAGAGUGUGUCAGAGGGAGGUGGAAUUCCGCGUGUAGCAGUGAAAUGCGUAGAUAUGCGGAGGAACACCGAUGGCGAAGGCAGCCUCCUGGGAUAACACUGACGCUCAUGCACGAAAGCGUGGGGAGCAAACAGGAUUAGAUACCCUGGUAGUCCACGCCCUAAACGAUGUCAACUAGCUGUUGGGGCCUUCGGGCCUUGGUAGCGCAGCUAACGCGUGAAGUUGACCGCCUGGGGAGUACGGUCGCAAGAUUAAAACUCAAAGGAAUUGGAC
RNAcentral lists this ribosomal RNA (567 nucleotides) under uncultured bacterium. Its description in RNAcentral is "partial 16S ribosomal RNA". It matches the Rfam family "Bacterial small subunit ribosomal RNA", at positions 355 to 915 of the family's 1533-position model. The record is from RNAcentral.